UACGAAGGGGGCUAGCGUUGCUCGGAAUCACUGGGCGUAAAGGGUGCGUAGGCGGGUCUUUAAGUCAGGGGUGAAAUCUCCAGGCUCAACCUGGAAACUGCCAUUGAUACUAUUUGUCUUGAAUCCUGUUGAGGUGGGCGGAAUAUAUCAUGUAGCGGUGAAAUGCUUAGAUAUGAUAUAGAACACCGAUUGCGAAGGCAGCUCACUAAGCAGGCAUUGACGCUGAGGCACGAAAGCGUGGGGAUCAAACAGG
RNAcentral lists this ribosomal RNA (253 nucleotides) under uncultured bacterium. RNAcentral describes it as "partial 16S ribosomal RNA". It matches the Rfam family "Bacterial small subunit ribosomal RNA", at positions 524 to 776 of the family's 1533-position model. The record is from RNAcentral.